RNAcentral lists this transfer RNA (28 nucleotides) under Jenynsia lineata (onesided livebearer). Its description in RNAcentral is "partial tRNA-Gln". The record is from RNAcentral. Lineage: Eukaryota; Metazoa; Chordata; Actinopteri; Cyprinodontiformes; Anablepidae.
AGAAAGUGGUGUAGAAGAAGCACUAAGA